This 309-nucleotide ribosomal RNA is filed under the name Triticum aestivum (bread wheat). RNAcentral describes it as "partial small subunit ribosomal RNA". The record is from RNAcentral. Lineage: Eukaryota; Viridiplantae; Streptophyta; Magnoliopsida; Poales; Poaceae.
AUGUUCUUUUAUCUUGAGGAAAUUGACAGGAACAGUAGAUCAGAAAUUGCUUCUACUCUAGAGUACUCUCACCGGCAGCAUGAUCAAUUGUGUUUGAAAUUAAUGAACAAAUGCAAGGAUCAGAAAUUGGAGCUUCUUCUCAGCGGCAGCAGCACAAGUAGGGUAGCUCCGGGCAGCAGCACGAGCAGGGCCGCCUGGGAGCAGCAGCAACUUGCAGACGAGCAGCAGGUCGAGGAGAGGAGUGGGGGAGACGACAGGGGCCUCGAGGUUGAGGAUGAGCUUCCAUUCCAGGCCCGCCGGGAGCUCUAG